RNAcentral lists this ribosomal RNA (225 nucleotides) under uncultured bacterium. RNAcentral's name for it is "partial 16S ribosomal RNA". It matches the Rfam family "Bacterial small subunit ribosomal RNA", at positions 107 to 334 of the family's 1533-position model. The record is from RNAcentral.
UGAGUAACACGUAUCCAACCUGCCGUCUACUCUUGACAGCCUUCUGAAAGGAAGAUUAAUACAAGAUGGCAUCAUGAGUCCGCAUGUUCACAUGAUUAAAGGUAUUCCGGUAGACGAUGGGAUGCGUUCCAUUAGAUAGUAGGCGGGGUAACGGCCCACCUAGUCUUCGAUGGAUAGGGGUUCUGAGAGGAAGGUCCCCCACAUUGGAACUGAGACACGGUCCAA